RNAcentral lists this ribosomal RNA (453 nucleotides) under uncultured bacterium. RNAcentral describes it as "bacterial SSU rRNA". It matches the Rfam family "Bacterial small subunit ribosomal RNA", at positions 340 to 784 of the family's 1533-position model. The record is from RNAcentral.
UACGGGAGGCAGCAGUGGGGAAUAUUGCACAAUGGGCGCAAGCCUGAUGCAGCCAUGCCGCGUGUAUGAAGAAGGCCUUCGGGUUGUAAAGUACUUUCAGUCGUGAGGAAGGUGUUAAGGUUAAUAACCUUAGCAAUUGACGUUAGCGACAGAAGAAGCACCGGCUAACUCCGUGCCAGCAGCCGCGGUAAUACGGAGGGUGCGAGCGUUAAUCGGAAUUACUGGGCGUAAAGGGCACGCAGGCGGUUAAUUAAGUUGGAUGUGAAAUCCCCGGGCUUAACCUGGGAAUGGCAUUCAAGACUGGUUAGCUAGAGUCUUGUAGAGGGGGUAGAAUUCCAUGUGUAGCGGUGAAAUGCGUAGAGAUGUGGAGGAAUGCCGGUGGCGAAGGCGGCCCCUGGGACAAAGACUGACGCUCAUGUGCGAAAGCGUGGGGAGCAAACGAGGGAUUAGGAU